This 505-nucleotide ribosomal RNA is filed under the name uncultured bacterium. RNAcentral describes it as "partial 16S ribosomal RNA". It matches the Rfam family "Bacterial small subunit ribosomal RNA", at positions 29 to 523 of the family's 1533-position model. The record is from RNAcentral.
AGUGAACGCUGGCGGUAGGCCUAACACAUGCAAGUCGAACGGCAGCACAGAGGAGCUUGCUCCUUGGGUGGCGAGUGGCGGACGGGUGAGGAAUACAUCGGAAUCUACUUUUUCGUGGGGGAUAACGUAGGGAAACUUACGCUAAUACCGCAUACGACCUACGGGUGAAAGCAGGGGAUCUUCGGACUUUGCGCGAUUGAAUGAGCCGAUGUCGGAUUAGCUAGUUGGCGGGGUAAAGGCCCACCAAGGCGACGAUCCGUAGCUGGUCUGAGAGGAUGAUCAGCCACACUGGAACUGAGACACGGUCCAGACUCCUACGGGAGGCAGCAGUGGGAAUAUUGGACAAUGGGCGCAAGCCUGAUCCAGCCAUACCGCGUGGGUGAAGAAGGCCUUCGGGUUGUAAAGCCCUUUUGUUGGGAAAGAAAUCCAGCCGGCUAAUACCUGGUUGGGAUGACGGUACCCAAAGAAUAAGCACCGGCUAACUUCGUGCCAGCCGCCGCAGUAA